Molecule: ribosomal RNA, 468 nt
Filed under: uncultured bacterium
Lineage: Bacteria
Description: partial 16S ribosomal RNA
Rfam family: Bacterial small subunit ribosomal RNA
Source: RNAcentral
GACGAACGCUGGCGGCGUGCUUAACACAUGCAAGUCGAACGGAAAGGCCCUGCGUUUGUGGGGUGCUCGAGUGGCGAACGGGUGAGUAACACGUGAGUAACCUGCCCUUGACUUUGGGAUAACUUCAGGAAACUGGGGCUAAUACCGGAUAGGAGCUCCUGCUGCAUGGUGGGGGUUGGAAAGUUUCGGCGGGUGGGGAUGGACUCGCGGCUUACCAGCUUGUUGGUGGGGUAGUGGCUUACCAAGGCUUUGACGGGUAGCCGGCCUGAGAGGGUGACCGGCCACCUUGCGCCUGCGGUACGGCCCAGACUCCUACGGGAGGCAGCAGUCGGAAGUAUUGCACAAUGGGCGGACGCCUGAUGCGGCAGCCCCGCGUGCGGAAUGACGGCCUUCGGGUUGUGAACCGCUUUCGCCUGUGACGAAGCGUGAGUGACGGUAAUGAGUGAAGAAGCACCGGCUAACUUCGUG